CUACGGGGUGCAGCAGUGAGGAAUAUUGCACAAUGGGGGGAACCCUGAUGCAGCAACGCCGCGUGGAGGAUGACGCAUUUCGGUGUGUAAACUCCUUUUAUAUGUCAAGAAAAUGACGGUAGCAUAUGAAUAAGCACCGGCUAACUCCGUGCCAGCAGCCGCGGUAAUACGGAGGGUGCAAGCGUUGCUCGGAAUCACUGGGCGUAAAGGACGCGUAGGCGGGUUGGAAAGUCAGGUGUGAAAUCCUACAGCUUAACUGUAGAACUGCGCUUGAAACUUCUAAUCUAGAGUAUGGGAGGGGGAGAUGGAAUUAGUGGUGUAGGGGUAAAAUCCGUAGAUAUCACUAGGAAUACCUAAAGCGAAGGCGAUCUCCUGGAACAUUACUGACGCUAAGGCGUGAAAGCGUGGGGAGCAAACAGGAUUAGAUACCCUCGUAGUC
RNAcentral lists this ribosomal RNA (439 nucleotides) under uncultured bacterium. Its description in RNAcentral is "partial 16S ribosomal RNA". It matches the Rfam family "Bacterial small subunit ribosomal RNA", at positions 339 to 795 of the family's 1533-position model. The record is from RNAcentral.